CCUACGGGUGGCAGCAGUGAGGAAUAUUGGUCAAUGGGCGCGAGCCUGAACCAGCCAAGUCGCGUGAGGGAAGAAGGCCCAAUGGAUCGUAAACCUCUUUUGUCGGGGAGCAAAAGACGGCACUCGUGCCGUCCUGAGAGUACCCGGAGAAAAAGCAUCGGCUAACUCCGUGCCAGCAGCCGCGGUAAUACGGAGGAUGCGAGCGUUAUCCGGAUUCAUUGGGUUUAAAGGGUGCGCAGGCGGAAGUUCAAGCCAGCGGUAAAAUUGAGGGGCUCAACCUCUGCGAGCCGUUGGAACUGGGGGUCUUGAGUGAGUGGGAGGUAUGCGGAAUGCGUGGUGUAGCGGUGAAAUGCAUAGAUAUCGCGCAGAACCCCGAUUGCGAAGGCAGCGUGCCGGGGCGCAACUGACGCUCAUGCACGAAAGUGUGGGUAUCGAACAGGAUUAGAUACCCUGGUAGUC
Molecule: ribosomal RNA, 459 nt
Filed under: uncultured bacterium
Lineage: Bacteria
Description: partial 16S ribosomal RNA
Rfam family: Bacterial small subunit ribosomal RNA
Source: RNAcentral